GGUGGGAGGUGGGGUGGGCA
Molecule: microRNA, 20 nt
Filed under: Mus musculus (house mouse)
Lineage: Eukaryota; Metazoa; Chordata; Mammalia; Rodentia; Muridae
Description: mmu-miR-705
Gene: mmu-miR-705
Source: miRBase by way of RNAcentral